Molecule: ribosomal RNA, 405 nt
Filed under: uncultured bacterium
Lineage: Bacteria
Description: bacterial SSU rRNA
Rfam family: Bacterial small subunit ribosomal RNA
Source: RNAcentral
UGGGGAAUAUUGGGCAAUGGGCGAAAGCCUGACCCAGCAACGCCGCGUGAGGGAAGAAGGGCUUCGGCUCGUAAACCUCUGUCCUAUGGGACGAAGGAAGUGACGGUACCAUAGGAGGAAGCCCCGGCUAACUACGUGCCAGCAGCCGCGGUAAUACGUAGGGGGCGAGCGUUGUCCGGAAUGAUUGGGCGUAAAGGGCGCGUAGGCGGCCUGAUAAGUCUGGAGUGAAAGUCCUGCUUUCAAGGUGGGAAUUGCUUUGGAUACUGUCGGGCUGGAGUACAGGAGAGGAAAGCGGAAUUACCAGUGUAGCGGUGAAAUGCGUAGAGAUUGGUAGGAACACCAGUGGCGAAGGCGGCUUUCUGGACUGAAACUGACGCUGAGGCGCGAAAGCGUGGGGAGCAAACA